AUUGAACGCUGGCGGCAGGCCUAACACAUGCAAGUCGAGCGGAUGAAGGAGGCUUUUUCCUGUCUUCAGUGGGGGACGGGCGGGUAGGUCCUAGGAAGCUGCCCGGUCUUGGAGACUAAGGUCCGGAAAGGGACCCUAAUCCACCACCGGACCUUAGGUUGAAAGGGGGGGUUCUUCGGCCCUAACCGUUCUUGCUGUCACUAGUUGGGAUUAGCUAGUUGGUGUGGUAAAGUCCUACCAAGGCGACGAUCCGUAACUGCUCUGAGAGGAUGAUCUGUCACACUGGAACUGAGACACGGUCCAGACUCCUACGGGAGGCAGCAGUGGGGAAUAUUGGACAAUGGGCGAAAGCCUGAUCCAGCCAUGCCGCGUGUGUGAAGAAGGUCUUCGGAUCGUAAAGCACUUUAAGUUGGGAGGAAGGGCAGUAAGUUAAUACCUUGCUGUCUUGACGGUACCAACAGAAUAAGCACCGGCUAACUUCGUG
RNAcentral lists this ribosomal RNA (484 nucleotides) under uncultured bacterium. RNAcentral's name for it is "partial 16S ribosomal RNA". It matches the Rfam family "Bacterial small subunit ribosomal RNA", at positions 30 to 507 of the family's 1533-position model. The record is from RNAcentral.